RNAcentral lists this ribosomal RNA (491 nucleotides) under uncultured bacterium. RNAcentral describes it as "partial 16S ribosomal RNA". It matches the Rfam family "Bacterial small subunit ribosomal RNA", at positions 29 to 506 of the family's 1533-position model. The record is from RNAcentral.
AGUGAACGCUGGCGGUAGGCCUAACACAUGCAAGUCGAACGGCAGCACAGUAAGAGCUUGCUCUUACGGGUGGCGAGUGGCGGACGGGUGAGGAAUACAUCGGAAUCUACUUUUUCGUGGGGGAUAACGUAGGGAAACUUACGCUAAUACCGCAUACGACCUACGGGUGAAAGCAGGGGAUCUUCGGACCUUGCGCGAUUGAAUGAGCCGAUGUCGGAUUAGCUAGUUGGCGGGGUAAAGGCCCACCAAGGCGACGAUCCGUAGCUGGUCUGAGAGGAUGAUCAGCCACACUGAAACUGAGACACGGCCCAGCCCCCGACGGGAGGCAGAGGUGGGGAAUUUUGGAAAAGGGGCGCAAUCCUGAUCCAGCCAUACCGGGUGGGUGAAGAAGGCCUUCGGGUUGUAAAGCCCUUUUUUUGGGAAAAAAAAGCGGCAGGUUAAACCCCCGCUGUUCGGACGGUACCCAAAAAAAAAGCACCGGCUAACUUCGG